GGUUAAAAACUCAAAAAGCACUUCCAGUUUACUUAAAGCAAUUUUGGGUUGUUUGGUUCUCUCCAAACGUGAUGACGAUGUCCUACGGUUCCUGCUCAAAAUCAAUUCUAGGUGAAGCUGCUAUUGCUAGCUUCUGAAAAUCGAUUCUUCAACUGCAGCGGAAUAAAAACAGAGUAGAGAAAAGAAAGAGAGACACAAACAAUUAUCCUGGUUUCUUCCACAAACCGGAAGUAGUCUAGUCCCCCUUGCACUUCCAAGGAGAUUUUCACUAAGAAAUAAUCACACAGAUUAAACUGCUCAAUACUACCUAGUAUGAGACUUCCCAAAUGCUCAAGCACGCAGGCAAGAGACUUCCAAUGCUCAAGCACUAAAGCAAGAGACUUCCUAUGCUCAAGCACUAAAGCAAGAGACUUCUAA
RNAcentral lists this long non-coding RNA (417 nucleotides) under Medicago truncatula (barrel medic). RNAcentral describes it as "lncRNA gene762". The record is from RNAcentral. Lineage: Eukaryota; Viridiplantae; Streptophyta; Magnoliopsida; Fabales; Fabaceae.